CUUGGUGCUCUAGACCUUAUGGAACCACUUAAUUUACAUUCCGAACUUGCAAGUUAAACAUAAGGUAGAAAAAUAUACUUGAAAAGAGAUUUUCUGGAAAAACUUUUUUAGUGCCUAGACCUAUUCUA
This 128-nucleotide ribosomal RNA is filed under the name Euglena agilis. Lineage: Eukaryota; Euglenozoa; Euglenophyceae; Euglenales; Euglenaceae. The record is from RNAcentral.